UAAGAACAAGUCAAAUUGUAUAAACUUGAUGUGAUUCAGCCAAUAAAGGUGCUUACUACCAUAUCGAAAUAUGAACUCAAAUCAAGCUUAAUUGAUUAUUUAAUUUGGUCAUGUUAACUACAAAGAGUUCCAACCUUACAAAUUUUUUAAGCUUAAUGUGAUUCAGCCAUAACUAUGAUGUAACCCUUGAUAUCAACCUUGGAAACCCCUGCUUUCCUGAAUUAGAUUCUCUUCGUCUGCAACUUAACAAAUUAUCUACUAGCUCAAAACUCCACAUCAGCGCAACUGAUUUGAUUUCUGAAAAAAUAAUUAUACUAUUCACAAAUUGGCCAAUAAGUAUUGAGAAAGUCAAAUUGAUUGCUUUUAAUGGAAAUAUCUUUUAUCUCCAUUGGAUAGGGCAUAACCGUAGAACACUAGUGAGGUUAUAUAAAUGGUUACUGAUAACCAGCCGACUGAUUAAUUAGGUGCAAAACGUUGUGGUAUGAAUAACUAAGAUAUAUAAAAUGCAAUUUUGCAGCAUUUCCUUCAUGAAAAAUGAAACAAUUUUGUAACUUUUGGUUCAUUGAGAAAGAUGUUUGACAACUAGACGUUUCCAAAAACGAUUGCCCUGCGAAAGCGAAGGUGAAGAUAAUUAGCAAGUGAAUCAGCAAUAACCAUCGAUUCAGUUUCACGUCAAAAAUCAGGUCGCCUUCUUAUGAAUUAGUGCCUUUGAAAAUUAUGAGAUCAGCUCGCUUUCUUAUGAAAUUAUUUGGAUAUUAUUCAGUUUUAGGUUGCCUUCAUAUGAAAUUAUUUAGAAAUUAUUCAGUCUCAGUUGCCUUCUCAUGAAUUUUUUUUUUGGGGAAUUUUUCAGUUUCAGGUUGACAUCUUACGUAUGAACAGAAUUUUAAAAGAAGAAAUUAUCCAGUUUCAGUUUGCCUUCGUAUGAAAAUAUUUAUAUUCUUAAUCGGAAAAAUUAGAAUGCCACUAAUCAUCUAUAAAUAAUCGAAACCUCCGUUAACAUUAACAUAAUAUACGUACGAUAACAAAUCUUUUCUUACAAGUUCGAUGAAUGGAGAAAUCAUCUGCUCUCUUCCUUUUUACUUGCGUUUGUUUCAUUUUAACCAUCGUCCCAACUAGACGUUUCCAAAAACAAUUGGUCUGCGAAAGCGAAGGUGAAGAUAAUUAGCAACUAAGAUAUAUAAAAUACAAUUUUGCAGCAUUUUCUUCAUGAAAAAUGAAACAAUUUUGCAACUUUUGGUUCAUUGAGAAAAAUGUUUGACAACUAGACGUUUCCAAAAACGAUUGGCCUGCGAAAGCAAAGGUGAAAAUAAUUAGCAGCUAAGAUAUAUAAAAUGCAAUUUUGCAGCAUUUUCUUCAUGAAAAAUGAAACAAUUUUGUAACUUUUGGUUCAUUGAGAAAGAUGUUUGACAACUAGACGUUUCCAAAAACGAUUGGCCUGCGAAAGCAAAGGUGAAAAUAAUUAGCAGCUAAGAUAUAUAAAAUGCAAUUUUGCAGCAUUUUCUUCAUGAAAAAUGAAACAAUUUUGUAACUUUUGGUUCAUUGAGAAAGAUGUUUGACAACUAGACGUUUCCAAGAACGAUUGGCUUGCGAAAGCGAAGGUGAAGAUAAUUAGCAAUUAAGAUAUAUAAAAUGCAAUUUUGCAGCAUUUUCUUCAUGAAAAAUGAAACAAUCUUACAACUUUUGGUUUAUUGAGAAAGAUGUUUGACAACUAAACGUUUCCAAAAAUGAUUCGCCUGCGAAAGCGAAGGUGAAGAUAAUUAGCAAGUGAAUCAGCAAUAACCAUCGAUUCAGUUUCACGUCAAAAACCAGGUCGCCUUCUUAUGAAUUAAUGUCUUUGAAAAUUAUGAGAUCAGCUCGCUUUCUUAUGAAAUUAUUUGGAUGUUAUUCAGUUUUAGGUUGCCUUAUUUUGAAAUUAUUUAGAAAUUAUUCAGUCUCAGUUGCCUUCUCAUGAAUUUUUUUUUUUUGGGAAUUUUUCAGUUUCAGGUGGACAUCUUAUGUAUGAACAGAAUUUUAAAAGAAGAAAUUAUCCAGUUUCAGUUUGCCUUCGUAUGAAUAUAUUUAUAUUCUUAAUCGGAAAAAUUAAAAUGCCACUGAUCAUCUAUAAAUAAUCGAAACCUCCGUUAACAUUAAAAUCAAUAUACGUACGAUAACAAAUCUUUUCUUACAAGUUCGAUGAAUGGAGAAAUCAUCUGCUCUCUUCCUUUUUACUUGUGUUUGAUUCAUUUUAACCAUCGUCCUAACUAGACGUUUCCAAAAAUGAUUGGCCUGCGAAAGCGUAGGUGAAGAUAAUUAGCAACUAAGAUAAAUAAAAUACAAUUUUGCAGCAUUUUCUUCAUGAAAAAUGAAACAAUCUUACAACUUUUGGUUUAUUGAGAAAGAUGUUUGACAACUAAACGUUUCCAAAAAUGAUUCGCCUGCGAAAGCGAAGGUGAAGAUAAUUAGCAAGUGAAUCAGCAAUAACCAUCGAUUCAGUUUCACGUCAAAAACCAGGUCGCCUUCUUAUGAAUUAAUGUCUUUGAAAAUUAUGAGAUCAGCUCGCUUUCUUAUGAAAUUAUUUGGAUGUUAUUCAGUUUUAGGUUGCCUUAUUUUGAAAUUAUUUAGAAAUUAUUCAGUCUCAGUUGCCUUCUCAUGAAUUUUUUUUUUUUGGGAAUUUUUCAGUUUCAGGUGGACAUCUUAUGUAUGAACAGAAUUUUAAAAGAAGAAAUUAUCCAGUUUCAGUUUGCCUUCGUAUGAAUAUAUUUAUAUUCUUAAUCGGAAAAAUUAAAAUGCCACUGAUCAUCUAUAAAUAAUCGAAACCUCCGUUAACAUUAAAAUCAAUAUACGUACGAUAACAAAUCUUUUCUUACAAGUUCGAUGAAUGGAGAAAUCAUCUGCUCUCUUCCUUUUUACUUGUGUUUGAUUCAUUUUAACCAUCGUCCUAACUAGACGUUUCCAAAAAUGAUUGGCCUGCGAAAGCGUAGGUGAAGAUAAUUAGCAACUAAGAUAAAUAAAAUACAAUUUUGCAGCAUUUUCUUCAUGAAAAAUGAAACAAUUUUGUAAUUUUUGGUUCAUUGAGAAAGAUGGUUGACAACUAGACGUUUCCAAGAACGAUUGGCCUCCGAAAGCGAAUGUGAAGAUAAUUAGCAACUAUACUCUGAGCUCGGUUCAUCAAUUAAUUAAUCUCUCUUCUCAGGGCAUUUACUUGUCUUAGAAAGUUUUUUAUCACCUUUAAUUACAAUUGCAUCAAGACAUGGAUCUUCGACUUCCUCAAAUUGAAGUUGCUUACGGCAUUAAAGUUUUCAAGUUUUGAUAUGUUGUGUAAAAAAUAUUCAACUAGCUGCCCGAAGUAUUCCUAAACUUCUAUCGUUUUAUACAAACAAAAUAAAAUCCAAGCCAUGUUAUUUAUUUAUUUAUUUAUUUAUUUUUGGGCAAGACUAGUAUCUUGAUCAUUUUCACUAGUAGGUUAGAUACCACCAGUUUGUUAGGAUUGAAUUGAGCACAUUGAUCAAUUAAUCUUCAGUGAUGAACCAACAUUGACGUAAUCUAUGAACAAUUUGAGGCUUAAAAAAAUAAUCAAUUGAAAACAAAGAAAGAUACAAGAAAACCGAGACUCAAUAAGAACAAGUCAAAUUGUAUAAACUUGAUGUGAUUCAGCCAAUAAAGGUGCUUACUACCAUAUCGAAAUAUGAACUCAAAUCAAGCUUAAUUGAUUAUUUAAUUUGGUCAUGUUAACUACAAAGAGUUCCAACCUUACAAAUUUUUUAAGCUUAAUGUGAUUCAGCCAUAACUAUGAUGUAACCCUUGAUAUCAACCUUGGAAACCCCUGCUUUCCUGAAUUAGAUUCUCUUCGUCUGCAACUUAACAAAUUAUCUACUAGCUCAAAACUCCACAUCAGCGCAACUGAUUUGAUUUCUGAAAAAAUAAUUAUACUAUUCACAAAUUGGCCAAUAAGUAUUGAGAAAGUCAAAUUGAUUGCUUUUAAUGGAAAUAUCUUUUAUCUCCAUUGGAUAGGGCA
RNAcentral lists this long non-coding RNA (3994 nucleotides) under Citrus sinensis (sweet orange). RNAcentral's name for it is "long non-coding RNA (CSIN_LNC001381)". Lineage: Eukaryota; Viridiplantae; Streptophyta; Magnoliopsida; Sapindales; Rutaceae. The record is from RNAcentral.